This 253-nucleotide ribosomal RNA is filed under the name uncultured bacterium. RNAcentral describes it as "partial 16S ribosomal RNA". It matches the Rfam family "Bacterial small subunit ribosomal RNA", at positions 524 to 776 of the family's 1533-position model. The record is from RNAcentral.
UACGAAGGGGGCUAGCGUUGCUCGGAAUCACUGGGCGUAAAGGGUGCGUAGGCGGGUCUUUAAGUCAGGGGUGAAAUCCUGGAGCUCAACUCCAGAACUGCCUUUGAUACUGAAGAUCUUGAGUCCGGGAGAGGUGAGUGGAACUGCGAGUGUAGAGGUGAAAUUCGUAGAUAUUCGGAGGAACACCAGUGGCGAAGGCGGCUCACUGGUCCAUUACUGACGCUGAGGUGCGAAAGCGUGGGGAGCAAACAGG